CUGGGAACGAGUGAUAUCAAAAUUAAAAACAAAAAAAUGAAAUACGAUCAAAUAUAUCGAUUUAUAAUACAAUGGCAUUUGUUUUAAACAACGGAAUGUCGUGGUAGCAACUCGUAUUCUUCAUCUACGAGGUUUAUGAAAGUAAAGUUGCCGUUUAAAAUUUGUUAUCGCUGAAAACAUUCGGUAGACAGUUCGACUGAAUUUCAUCAUGUCUCUAAAAAGACUGUUAAGGUGAG
Non-coding RNA from Paramuricea clavata, 236 nucleotides. The record is from the annotation of a GenBank genome assembly. Lineage: Eukaryota; Metazoa; Cnidaria; Anthozoa; Malacalcyonacea; Plexauridae.